This 353-nucleotide ribosomal RNA is filed under the name Iassinae gen. n. nr. Pachyopsis sp. SK-2013. RNAcentral describes it as "partial 12S ribosomal RNA". Lineage: Eukaryota; Metazoa; Arthropoda; Insecta; Hemiptera; Cicadellidae. The record is from RNAcentral.
UAUUAUAGAAUACGUGGAAAUUUUUUGAAUACUAUUAGUUAUGUUCUUUAAAACUCAAGUAAUUUGGCGGUAAUUUAUUUCUGUUCAGAGGAAUAUGUAUAUUAAUUGAUAAUCCACGAUAUUUUAUACCAAGUAAGUAUUUGUAUACCUCUAUUUAGGGAAUUUACUCAUGAAUUUUCUUUUUUAAUUUUUAAUUAAUUUUAGGUCAAGGUGCAGUUUUUAUUUAGGAAUAUAUGUAUUACUUUAAUUUUAAAUUUUUUUAUUUAAUUGAAUUUUUUAAUUAUUUUAAUUGGAUUUGAAAGUAAAUUUGAAUAAUUACUCAAUUUGAAUUUGUUCUGAUUUAUGUACACAUC